CAGCAGCCGCGGUAAUACGUAGGUGGCAAGCGUUGUCCGGAAUUAUUGGGCGUAAAGGGCUCGCAGGCGGUUUCUUAAGUCUGAUGUGAAAGCCCCCGGCUCAACCGGGGAGGGUCAUUGGAAACUGGGAAACUUGAGUGCAGAAGAGGAGAGUGGAAUUCCACGUGUAGCAGUGAAAUGCGUAGAGAUGUGGAGGAACACCAGUGGCGAAGGCGACUCUCUGGUCUGUAACUGACGCUGAGGAGCGAAAGCGUGGGGAGCGAACAGGAUUAGAGACCCCUGUAGUCCCUGUCUCUUAUAC
This 301-nucleotide ribosomal RNA is filed under the name uncultured bacterium. Its description in RNAcentral is "partial 16S ribosomal RNA". It matches the Rfam family "Bacterial small subunit ribosomal RNA", at positions 509 to 807 of the family's 1533-position model. The record is from RNAcentral.